This 429-nucleotide ribosomal RNA is filed under the name Chloroflexota bacterium. RNAcentral describes it as "Chloroflexi bacterium partial 16S ribosomal RNA". It matches the Rfam family "Bacterial small subunit ribosomal RNA", at positions 355 to 776 of the family's 1533-position model. Lineage: Bacteria; Bacillati; Chloroflexota. The record is from RNAcentral.
UGGGGAAUAUUGCACAAUGGGCGCAAGCCUGAUGCAGCCAUGCCGCGUGUAUGAAGAAGGCAUUCGGGUUGUAAAGUACUUUCAGCGGGGAGGAAGGGAGUAAAGUUAAUACCUUUGCUCAUUGACGUUACCCGCAGAAGAAGCACCGGCUAACUCCGUGCCAGCAGCCGCGGUAAUACGGAGGGUGCAAGCGUUAAUCGGAAUUACUGGGCGUAAAGCGCACGCAGGCGGUUUGUUAAGUCAGAUGUGAAAUCCCCGGGCUCAACCUGGGAACUGCAUCUGAUACUGGCAAGCUUGAGUCUCGUAGAGGGGGGUAGAAUUCCAGGUGUAGCGGUGAAAUGCGUAGAGAUCUGGAGGAAUACCGGUGGCGAAGGCGGCCCCCUGGACGAAGACUGACGCUCAGGUGCGAAAGCGUGGGGAGCAAACAGG